UGGGGAGGCCGGAUCCUGGGCUGUGUCCCGGCGCCCUGUGCUCCGGGUCUGUGCUGUUGGAUUCCCCUCCGUGGAGCUGCCGCUCAAGCCCCU
Molecule: microRNA precursor, 93 nt
Filed under: Canis lupus familiaris (dog)
Lineage: Eukaryota; Metazoa; Chordata; Mammalia; Carnivora; Canidae
Also listed under: 1 other name
Description: mir-8799 microRNA precursor family
Rfam family: mir-8799 microRNA precursor family
Source: Rfam by way of RNAcentral